RNAcentral lists this ribosomal RNA (497 nucleotides) under uncultured bacterium. Its description in RNAcentral is "partial 16S ribosomal RNA". It matches the Rfam family "Bacterial small subunit ribosomal RNA", at positions 28 to 507 of the family's 1533-position model. The record is from RNAcentral.
GAUGAACGCUGGCGGCGUGCCUAAUACAUGCAAGUCGAGCGAACAGACGAGGAGCUUGCUCCUCUGACGUUAGCGGCGGACGGGUGAGUAACACGUGGAUAACCUACCUAUAAGACUGGGAUAACUUCGGGAAACCGGAGCUAAUACCGGAUAAUAUAUUGAACCGCAUGGUUCAAUAGUGAAAGACGGUUUUGCUGUCACUUAUAGAUGGAUCCGCGCCGCAUUAGCUAGUUGGUAAGGUAACGGCUUACCAAGGCGACGAUGCGUAGCCGACCUGAGAGGGUGAUCGGCCACACUGGAACUGAGACACGGUCCAGACUCCUACGGGAGGCAGCAGUAGGGAAUCUUGCGCAAUGGGCGAAAGCCUGACGGAGCAACGCCGCGUGAGUGAUGAAGGUCUUCGGAUCGUAAAACUCUGUUAUUAGGGAAGAACAAAUGUGUAAGUAACUAUGGACGUCUUGACGGUACCUAAUCAGAAAGCCACGGCUAACUACGUG